This is a long non-coding RNA of Oryza brachyantha (malo sina), 421 nucleotides long. RefSeq lists it as uncharacterized. The record is from RefSeq and is a predicted model, not a curated record. Lineage: Eukaryota; Viridiplantae; Streptophyta; Magnoliopsida; Poales; Poaceae. The transcript is spliced from 2 exons.
AGAACAGGAGUUAUAUCGCUACAUCAUCCACUGUUUUCUGGACGGCUUCAACAUGCUCGGGCAGAUCACUCUUCCAAUGACUUGCAAGGGCACCAGGAAACAUUGCUUAAAGACAAUAUAGACUGGUUACCGUUACAUGAGGGUGAGAAAUAGCACCAGAAAGCAAACAAUGAUCCAUGGGAAGUUGUGAAUAGAGGAGCAGAAAUAUUACCAGAUAACAUCAGAAAUAGAAGAUUCUGAACUGCAACUUGAAGCAUCAAUAAUCGAUGUUAUCUGUUGAUUAUCCAUUUCAACGCCUGCUGCAUUGCAUGUUAUACACAUAUGGAGGGGUAUAACCUGUGGUCAAAAGAUAAGGCUCAUGUAUUAAUCAGGUGGCAUUAGAUGUUUCGCAAAAGAAUGCAGAGAAAAAUACAUAAAGUAA